UGGGGAAUUUUGGACAAUGGGCGAAAGCCUGAUCCAGCAAUGCCGCGUGUGUGAAGAAGGCCUUCGGGUUGUAAAGCACUUUUGUCCGGAAAGAAAUCCUUGGCUCUAAUACAGUCGGGGGAUGACGGUACCGGAAGAAUAAGCACCGGCUAACUACGUGCCAGCAGCCGCGGUAAUACGUAGGGUGCAAGCGUUAAUCGGAAUUACUGGGCAUAAAGCGUGCGCAGGCGGUUUGCUAAGACCGAUGUGAAAUCCCCGGGCUCAACCUGGGAACUGCAUUGGUGACUGGCAGGCUAGAGUAUGGCAGAGGGGGGUAGAAUUCCACGUGUAGCAGUGAAAUGCGUAGAGAUGUGGAGGAAUACCGAUGGCGAAGGCAGCCCCCUGGGCCAAUACUGACGCUCAUGCACGAAAGCGUGGGGAGCAAACAGGAUUAGAUACCCUGGUAGUCCACGCCCUAAACGAUGUCAACUAGUUGUUGGGGAUUCAUUUCCUUAGUAACGUAGCUAACGCGUGAAGUUGACCGCCUGGGGAGUACGGUCGCAAGAUUAAAACUCAAAUGAAUUGACGGGGUCAUAGCUGUUUCCU
This 585-nucleotide ribosomal RNA is filed under the name uncultured bacterium. RNAcentral describes it as "partial 16S ribosomal RNA". It matches the Rfam family "Bacterial small subunit ribosomal RNA", at positions 355 to 1375 of the family's 1533-position model. The record is from RNAcentral.